GACGAACGCUGGCGGCGUGCUUAACACAUGCAAGUCGAGCGGUAAGGCCCUUUCGGGGGUACACGAGCGGCGAACGGGUGAGUAACACGUGGGUGACCUGCCCUUAGCUCUGGGAUAAGCCUGGGAAACUGGGUCUAAUACCGGAUAUGACUCCAUGACGCAUGUUGUGGGGUGGAAAGCCUUGUGCGGCUAGGGAUGGGCCCGCGGCCUAUCAGCUUGUUGGUGGGGUGAUGGCCUACCAAGGCGACGACGGGUAGCCGGCCUGAGAGGGCGACCGGCCACACUGGGGACUGGGACGACGACCCGGACCGACGUACCUUACCGGGACGGGGACGGACGACGACGUAGGGGGUAAGGGGUAACUUUCGUUCGGCCGAACUAAGGGUCGGGGAAACGGAAACCGUCCGUACGGACCGACGACGGACCGGACCCGG
This 434-nucleotide ribosomal RNA is filed under the name uncultured bacterium. RNAcentral describes it as "bacterial SSU rRNA". It matches the Rfam family "Bacterial small subunit ribosomal RNA", at positions 28 to 347 of the family's 1533-position model. The record is from RNAcentral.